AUAAAGCGUUAUGGGGCUGACGGUACCUGAGGAAUAAGCACCGGCUAACUUCGUGCCAGCAGCCGCGGUAAUACGAAGGGUGCAAGCGUUAAUCGGAAUUACUGGGCGUAAAGGGUGCGUAGGCGGUUGUUUAAGUCUGUCGUGAAAUCCCCGGGCUCAACCUGGGAAUGGCGAUGGAUACUGGGCAGCUAGAGUGUGUC
Molecule: ribosomal RNA, 200 nt
Filed under: uncultured Rhodanobacter sp.
Lineage: Bacteria; Pseudomonadati; Pseudomonadota; Gammaproteobacteria; Lysobacterales; Rhodanobacteraceae
Description: partial 16S ribosomal RNA
Rfam family: Bacterial small subunit ribosomal RNA
Source: RNAcentral